AUUGAACGCUGGCGGCAGGCCUACCACAUGCAAGUCGAACGAGUGGCGGACGGGUGAGUGAUGUCUGGGCAACUGCCCGAUGGAGGGGGAUAACUACUGGAAACGGUAGCUAAUACCGCAUACCAUCGGAUGUGCCCAGAUGGGAUUAGCUAGUAGGUGGGGUAACGGCUCACCUAGGAGACGAUCCCUAGCUGGUCUGAGAGGAUGACGAGCGCCACUGGAGUGUAGACGAGGCACAGAGUCCUAUGGGAGGUAGCGGUGGGGAAAUUUGCACGAUGGGCGCAAGCCUGAUGGAGCCAUGCCGCGUGUAUGAAGAAGGCCUUCGGGUUGUAAAGUACUUGCAGCUGGGGCACGUUACCCGCAGAAGAAGCACCGGCUGACGCCGUGACAGCAGCCGCGGUAAUUC
This 406-nucleotide ribosomal RNA is filed under the name uncultured bacterium. RNAcentral describes it as "partial 16S ribosomal RNA". It matches the Rfam family "Bacterial small subunit ribosomal RNA", at positions 29 to 526 of the family's 1533-position model. The record is from RNAcentral.